AGGCUAGCGGCAGGCCUCACACAUGCAAGUCGAGGGGUAGAGGAAGCUUGCUUCCUUGAGACCGGCGCACGGGUGCGUAACGCGUAUGCAAUCUACCUUGUACAGAGGGAUAGCCCAGAGAAAUUUGGAUUAAUACCUCAUAGUAUUAUUGAAUGGCAUCAUUUAAUGAUUAAAGUUCCAACGGUACAAGAUGAGCAUGCGUCCUAUUAGCUAGUUGGUGUGGUAACGGCAUACCAAGGCUACGAUAGGUAGGGGUCCUGAGAGGGAGAUCCCCCACACUGGUACUGAGACACGGACCAGACUCCUACGGGAGGCAGCAGUGAGGAAUAUUGGACAAUGGGCGCAAGCCUGAUCCAGCCAUGCCGCGUGCAGGAAGACGCAUCUAUGGUGUGUAAACUGCUUUUGUACGGGAAGAAACACUCCCUCGUGAGGGAGCUUGACGGUACCGUAAGAAUAAGGAUCGGCUAACUCCGUGCCAGCAGCCGCGGUAAUACGGAGGAUCCAAGCGUUAUCCGGAAUCAUUGGGUUUAAAGGGUCCGUAGGCGGUUUAAUAAGUCAGUGGUGAAAGCCCAUCGCUCAACGAUGGAACGGCCAUUGAUACUGUUAGACUUGAAUUACAAGGAAGUAACUAGAAUAUGUAGUGUAGCGGUGAAAUGCUUAGAUAUUACAUGGAAUACCAAUUGCGAAGGCAGGUUACUACUUGUGGAUUGACGCUGAUGGACGAAAGCGUGGGGAGCGAACAGGAUUAGAUACCCUGGUAGUCCACGCCGUAAACGAUGGAUACUAGCUGUUGGGGGUAAACUUCAGUGGCUAAGCGAAAGUGAUAAGUAUCCCACCUGGGGAGUACGUUCGCAAGAAUGAAACUCAAAUGAAUUGACGGAAGGGCGAAUUCCAGC
This 896-nucleotide ribosomal RNA is filed under the name uncultured Flavobacterium sp. RNAcentral's name for it is "bacterial SSU rRNA". It matches the Rfam family "Bacterial small subunit ribosomal RNA", at positions 33 to 930 of the family's 1533-position model. The record is from RNAcentral. Lineage: Bacteria; Pseudomonadati; Bacteroidota; Flavobacteriia; Flavobacteriales; Flavobacteriaceae.